Molecule: transfer RNA, 76 nt
Filed under: Prevotella denticola
Lineage: Bacteria; Pseudomonadati; Bacteroidota; Bacteroidia; Bacteroidales; Prevotellaceae
Description: tRNA-Glu
Rfam family: tRNA
About the family: Transfer RNA (tRNA) molecules are approximately 80 nucleotides in length. Their secondary structure includes four short double-helical elements and three loops (D, anti-codon, and T loops).
Source: RNAcentral
UGGUCGAUUCAUCUAACGGUUAGGAUACAAGAUUCUCAAUCUUGGCAUAGGGGUUCGAUUCCCCUAUCGACUACCC